UAAGGGCGACUGAAACGGGAAGAGCCCAGCGCAUAACCUCGCGGCCGACACCGCGAGGGGUGUUGCGUUUCGGUGGGUCCGUCCCGCCGCGAGCCGUACCGUCUAAGUCACGCUUGAAAGCGGCCACUACCCGCGGAGGGUGAUAGGCCCGUGUGGCGGAUGCCCGCGAGGGUGAUCAGGCUCCGGCGGAGGGACCGCAUUCACCGCAGAGUCGGGUUGCUUAGUAUCGCAGCUCCAAGCAGGUGGUAAACUCCAUCUAAGGCUAAAUACGACCACGAGACCGAUAGCGAACAAGUACCGUAAGGGAAAGUUGAAAAGAACUUUGAAGAGAGAGUUCAAGAGUACGUGAAACCGUUAAGAGCCUAAACGGAUGGAGCCUCGAAGGUCGAACUGAGGGGAUUCACCCCGUCGGCUGUCGCGGGACGUGUUCCGGUUUUGGCGACCCAGGCUUAUUUGGGCGCGCCGGCCGUCCCAUCGCGGCGUCGGCGGGCGUACUUCCUCCUCGUAGUAGAUCGCCGCGACCCGUUGCCGGGAGGUCCAAGGCCCGGCUGGAUUGGUACCCCGCCGCCCGUCGCCCUCGCGGCGGCGGCCGCGGUUCGGGGGAAACCUCCGGUGUCCUGGCAGCCCGGCGACGGUCACUCCAAGGAGGACCGGCGCUCCCCCCUCUCUCUCCGGGGCGGGGGAGGAGCCGCCGGCACUCUCGCGGCGCACCACGUAUCGGCGAUCCACCCGACCCGUCUUGAAACACGGACCAAGGAGUCCAACAUGUGCGCGAGUCAAAGGGCGAACUAAACCCGCAGGCGCAAUGAAAGUGACACACGCCCGAGCCAUCGGGCAGCGGGCCGAUCCCCGGCCGUCUCGGGCCCCCCCUGCGGCCGGAGAGCCGUCGCUGGCGAGGGGGCGUCUCGCCCCGGAGCCGACGGCGGCCCCCUCCGCGCGGGGGCGGACUCGGCGGCGCGGGCUCCCCGCGCGCGCUCCGGCGCGCGUCGUGGGGGCUCAGGAGGGCGCAGGCCCGGGACUUGUCGUACGGCGCCGCGCGGCCGAGCCCUUAGCGGGGCGGGGCUGCGACCGGUCGCCGACAAGUACCGAGAGCGUACACGUUGGGACCCGAAAGAUGGUGAACUAUGCCCGGCCAGGACGAAGCCAGAGGAAACUCUGGUGGAGGUCCGCAGCGAUUCUGACGUGCAAAUCGAUCGUUAGAGCUGGGUAUAGGG
Molecule: ribosomal RNA, 1214 nt
Filed under: Procaris ascensionis
Lineage: Eukaryota; Metazoa; Arthropoda; Malacostraca; Decapoda; Procarididae
Description: partial 28S ribosomal RNA
Rfam family: Eukaryotic large subunit ribosomal RNA
Source: RNAcentral